Long non-coding RNA from Gracilinanus agilis (Agile Gracile Mouse Opossum), 695 nucleotides. RefSeq lists it as uncharacterized. The transcript has 3 exons. Lineage: Eukaryota; Metazoa; Chordata; Mammalia; Didelphimorphia; Didelphidae. The record is from RefSeq and is a predicted model, not a curated record.
CUGGUGCUCGUAGAGCAAGUGCUUCACUUUCUGUUUGUAAACCUAAAGCGAGGGCCACAACUCAGAGCCUGGACACAAACACAAGUUAGGGGGCCAGGCCUGCGGAGGGGACACGUCCUGGAUGCAAAUGUGACCCCAGAGCCCUCCUAGCUGGGGCGCCCCAGCAGUGAUUCGAAGCCAGAAGCUGCCUCCGAGUGAUGUCCCAGAAGGUGUGGAUCUUGUCUCGCUCCAGCUGAAAGUAGUUGCGUUCCUCCCUUUCCCUGUCCAGCUCCUCCCUGAUCCUCAUGAUGUGUUCCUCCACCUGCAGAAACAAGAGGUUGGGCAGGUGCCUUAAAUAAAUGGAAAAUCACUCAUCAACAUAGCUGGGCACAUUGGUUCGAUAGCUUCCAUCUUGGCAUGGUUUUGUUGCCUAACAGGACCUUUAGGUGAGCCGUGAGCACAUGGACAUAGAGAGGCUUUUUGAUAUGCCAUGGAGAGAGGGGCCAUCUUGACUCACACUUCUGCCCAGGCCAUUCUUCCCAUCAGAAAUGUCCACUCCAAGGAUAUUCCACUUCACAUGCUACUUGCCACAAUAUCUGCCAAUGUUCUUUUACCCAUUAAUUAAUCACAUGCAUAUGGUCACUUCAUCAAGCAUUUGGUAAGCCCCUAUUAUGUGCCAGGCAUUUGGUACAAAAAGAUAAUAAAGGAAAUAGUCU